Molecule: ribosomal RNA, 396 nt
Filed under: uncultured bacterium
Lineage: Bacteria
Description: partial 16S ribosomal RNA
Rfam family: Bacterial small subunit ribosomal RNA
Source: RNAcentral
AUCCGUAGGUCACAAGCGUUAUCCGGAUUUACUGGGCGUAAAGGGCGUGUAGGAGGUCUUGCCAGCCAGCAGUGAAAUGCCUGGGCUCAACUCGGGCGCCGCUUCUGAAACUGCAGUACCUGAGUGCUGGAGGGGGUAGCGGAAUUCCUAUGGGAGCGGUAAAAUGCGUAGAGAUUUGGAAGAACCCCAGUGGCGAAGGCGUCUCUCUGGUCGGUACCUGAGGUUGAGGAUCGAAUGCGUGGGUAGCGAACAGGAUUAGAUACCCUGGUAGUCCACGCCGUAAACGAUGAGUGCUAAGUGUUAGGGGGUUUCCGCCCCUUAGUGCUGCAGCUAACGCAUAAGCACUCCGCCUGGGGAGUACGGUCGCAAGACUGAAACUCAAAGGAAUUGACGGGG